RNAcentral lists this long non-coding RNA (249 nucleotides) under Gallus gallus (chicken). Lineage: Eukaryota; Metazoa; Chordata; Aves; Galliformes; Phasianidae. The record is from RNAcentral.
AUGAAGUUCAUCUCCAUAUGAAGUUUUAUGUCCAACACUGGGAAGCGCAUUCAAAAAAGGAAUCAGAGUUCAGAUAAGUGCUACAGAAAGCACCUACAAAACCUGACCUGAAGGAAGAAAGAAAAGUUUUCAUUUCGAAGAAAGAAUCCUGAGAUGUGAAAUGUUGAUAGUGCUGUAUUAGUGUUUAUACUGAAGUUCUGCUCUUGGUAAUGACCUGACCUAAGUCCUUGUCCCUCUGGAAUAGGUAGG